This 253-nucleotide ribosomal RNA is filed under the name uncultured bacterium. RNAcentral describes it as "partial 16S ribosomal RNA". It matches the Rfam family "Bacterial small subunit ribosomal RNA", at positions 524 to 776 of the family's 1533-position model. The record is from RNAcentral.
UACGUAGGGGGCAAGCGUUGUCCGGAAUCAUUGGGCGUAAAGAGCGCGUAGGCGGCCCAGUAAGUCCGCUCUGAAAGUCAGAGGCUUAACCUCUGAAUGCGGGUGGAUACUGCUGGGCUAGAGUCCGGAAGAGGCGAGUGGAAUUCCUGGUGUAGCGGUGAAAUGCGCAGAUAUCAGGAGGAACACCGAUGGCGAAGGCAGCUCGCUGGGACGUUACUGACGCUGAGACGCGAAAGCGUGGGGAGCAAACAGG